UACGAAGGGGGCUAGCGUUGGUUCGGAUUUACUGGGCGUAAAGCGCACGGUAGGCGGAUCGUUAAGUCGGGGGUGAAAUCCUGGAGCUCAACUCCAGAACUGCCUUCGAUACUGGCGAUCUUUGAGUCCGGAAGAGGUGAGUGGAACUCCUAGUGUAGAGGUGGAAUUCGUAGAUAUUAGGAAGAACACCAGUGGCGAAGGCGGCUCACUGGUCCGGUACUGACGCUGAGGUGCGAAAGCGUGGGGAGCAAACAGGGAUUAAGAA
Molecule: ribosomal RNA, 265 nt
Filed under: uncultured bacterium
Lineage: Bacteria
Description: partial 16S ribosomal RNA
Rfam family: Bacterial small subunit ribosomal RNA
Source: RNAcentral